ACGAACGCUGGCGGCGUGCCUAAUACAUGCAAGUCGAACGAGCUCUCCUAAAUUGAUUUUAUGCUUGCAUAAAUGAUUUUUAGAUUCGGAGCGAGUGGCGAACUGGUGAGUAACACGUGGGUAACCUGCCCCGAAGCGGGGGAUAACAUUUGGAAACAAAUGCUAAUACCGCAUAAUUAGUUGGAACCGCAUGGUUCCAACUUGAAAGAUGGCUCUGCUAUCACUUUGGGAUGGACCCGCGCCGUAUUAGUUAGUUGGUGAGAUAAAAGCCCACCAAGACGAUGAUACGUAGCCGACCUGAGAGGGUAAUCGGCCACAUUGGGACUGAGACACGGCCCAGACUCCUACGGGAGGCAGCAGUAGGGAAUCUUCCACAAUGGACGAAAGUCUGAUGGAGCAACGCCGCGUGAGUGAUGAAGGUUUUCGGAUCGUAAAACUCUGUUGUUAAAGAAGAACAAGUGUUAGAGUAACUGUUAACACUUUGACGGUAUUUAACCAGAAAGCCACGGCUAACUACGUGCCAGCAGCCGCGGUAAUACGUAGGUGGCAAGCGUUGUCCGGAUUUAUUGGGCGUAAAGCGAGCGCAGGCGGUUUUGUAAGUCUGCUGUGAAAGCCCUCAGCUCAACUGAGGAAGUGCAGUGGAAACUACAAAACUUGAGUACAGAAGAGGAAAGUGGAACUCCAUGUGUAGCGGUGAAAUGCGUAGAUAUAUGGAAGAACACCAGUGGCGAAAGGCGGCUUUCUGGUCUGUUACUGACGCUGAGGCUCGAAAGCAUGGGUAGCGAACAGGAUUAGAUACCCUGGUAGUCCAUGCCGUAAACGAUGAAUACUAGGUGUUGGAGGGUUUCCGCCCUUCAGUGCCGCAGCUAACGCAUUAAGUAUUCCGCCUGGGGAGUACGACCGCAAGGUUGAAACUCAAAGGAAUUGACGGGGGCCCGCACAAGUGGUGGAGCAUGUGGUUUAAUUCGAUGCUACGCGAAGAACCUUACCAGCUCUUGACAUCUUCUGCCAACCCAAGAGAUUGGGCGUUCCCUUCGGGGACAGAAUGACAGGUGGUGCAUGGUUGUCGUCAGCUCGUGUCGUGAGAUGUUGGGUUAAGUCCCGCAACGAGCGCAACCCUUAUUAUUAGUUGCCAGCAUUUAGUUGGGCACUCUAGUGAGACUGCCGGUGAUAAACCGGAGGAAGGUGGGGACGGCGUCAAAUCAUCAUGCCCCUUAUGAGCUGGGCUACACACGUGCUACAAUGGAUGGUACAACGAGUCGCGAAACCGCGAGGUCAAGCUAAUCUCUUAAAGCCAUUCUCAGUUCGGAUUGCAGGCUGCAACUCGCCUGCAUGAAGUUGGAAUCACUAGUAAUCGUGGAUCAGCAUGCCACGGUGAAUACGUUCCCGGGCCU
Molecule: ribosomal RNA, 1394 nt
Filed under: uncultured Bacilli bacterium
Lineage: Bacteria; Bacillati; Bacillota; Bacilli
Description: bacterial SSU rRNA
Rfam family: Bacterial small subunit ribosomal RNA
Source: RNAcentral